Molecule: transfer RNA, 70 nt
Filed under: Rana sierrae (Nevada yellow-legged frog)
Lineage: Eukaryota; Metazoa; Chordata; Amphibia; Anura; Ranidae
Description: tRNA-Ile
Source: RNAcentral
GAAGUGUGCCUGAAAGNUAAGGACCUCCUUGAUAGGGAGGCUCAUAGGGGUUNAAACCCCCUCANUUCCU